AUUGAACGCUGGCGGCAGGCCUAACACAUGCAAGUCGAGCGAGCGGCGGACGGGUGAGUAAUGUAUGGGGACUGCCCGAUAGAGGGGGAUAACUACUGGAAACGGUGGCUAAUACCGCAUACUAUCGGAUAACCCAUAUGGGAUUAGCUAGUAGGUGGGGUAAAGGCGCACCUAGGCGACGAUAUCUAGCUGGUCUGAGAGGAUGUACAGCUAAAUGGGGACUGAGACACGGCCCAGACUCCUACGGGGGCAGCAUGGGGGAAUAUUGCACAGUUGGCGCAAGCCUGAUGCAGCCAUGCCGCGUGCAUGAAGAAGGCCUUAGGGUUGUAAAGUACUUUCAGCGGGGAGGCGUUACCCGCAGAAGAAGCACCGGCUAACUCCGUGCCAGCAGCCGCGGUAAUUC
Molecule: ribosomal RNA, 403 nt
Filed under: uncultured bacterium
Lineage: Bacteria
Description: partial 16S ribosomal RNA
Rfam family: Bacterial small subunit ribosomal RNA
Source: RNAcentral